Molecule: long non-coding RNA, 538 nt
Organism: Saccostrea cuccullata (small rock oyster)
Lineage: Eukaryota; Metazoa; Mollusca; Bivalvia; Ostreida; Ostreidae
Exons: 5
Source: RefSeq, a predicted model, not a curated record
AAUGCUGCAACAAUUUGGAGGAACAAGAGGUGGGGACCUGAUAUACUAUAGGAAGGAAGAGACAGAGAAAGGAUUAAAUUAUUCCAUGGAAUUCAAAGAAAAUCGUUUUUUAAAGUUCGCAUGAUGCAACUUCCUGGAUGGCUGUGUAGGCUGUUUGUCAACAUGUGAAUCACACGUGCAUUUCGGGGUAGGAGUUGUCUAACCUUGAAAAGAUCAAUAAUGGCGGUUAAACAAUGUGGCAAGCAGUCUGGUCACCAAAGGAAGGUUUCGACACCCGUAUACCCAGAUUUAUGCCAAUUAACUCUGUAACCUUGGUUGUGUUCAUCACACACAUGAUGGACCACUCUACUUCCUUUGACAACAGGUGCCCCUACAGAUUCACAAAGUUCCAGUGUUAAGUUUCCAUGACCCCUAUUCAUCCAUGACAGGAAAAGGAAUAGAGCUGACAGAACUUCAAGACAGGACUUCCUGCACUGUCCCUGGUAGCAGUUUAUGAAGGAACCAACCGCAGUCAGGGAGAGCACGCUUCAUCAAAGGU